AUACGGAGGGUGCAAGCGUUACUCGGAAUCACUGGGCGUAAAGCGCGCGCAGGCGGCUAUUUAAGUUGGAUGUGAAAGCCUACGGCUCAACCGUAGAACUGCAUCCAAAACUAUUUAGCUAGAGUGUGGGAGAGGAAGAUGGAAUUAGUUGUGUAGGGGUAAAAUCCGUAGAGAUAACUAGGAAUACCAAAAGCGAAGGCAAUCUUCUGGAACACUGCUGACGCUGAGGCGCGAAAGCGUGGGGAGCAAACGGGAUUAGAAACCCUAGUAGUCC
This 274-nucleotide ribosomal RNA is filed under the name uncultured bacterium. RNAcentral's name for it is "partial 16S ribosomal RNA". It matches the Rfam family "Bacterial small subunit ribosomal RNA", at positions 523 to 796 of the family's 1533-position model. The record is from RNAcentral.